This 865-nucleotide long non-coding RNA is filed under the name Panax ginseng (ginseng). RNAcentral describes it as "long non-coding RNA (PGIN_LNC017657)". Lineage: Eukaryota; Viridiplantae; Streptophyta; Magnoliopsida; Apiales; Araliaceae. The record is from RNAcentral.
CACUUGUGAAUAGCCUCACUACCACUUGAGCUAACCCAAGGGUUAGUGGGUAUUGCAAAGGUAUUAAGCACAAUCCAAACCAAAUUGAAUGACAAUUUCAAUUGCAGCUGGAAGCCUCAAAGGGGCUUUUGAAUCAAAGACAGAUUUCUAAGGAAAUUGCAGCCAAAGAUAGAAUCGAGGAAACAAAGAAGAACAAAUAUUUUUCUCCUUUCAGAAUUUUCUCAAAUCUUGCAAUGGACGUAGACGAAGAUCAGAAAGCAGAAAAUACAAGUUAUGGCAGAUUCCAUAAAACAGGUCGACUGGUUGAGGCUACACCAGAAGUCAAGACUGAAGAUAAAGUAGAGAUUAAGAAAUGUAUCAGAAGAUAAGCGAUGUUGGGAUUCAACAAACAAUUCACAUAGAUUUCUUUGUGGGUCAUUCGAGUUAGCAUCUUCCAACAGAUUUUAAUCAUUCUUACCAUUCUUUUCCGAGGUUUAUCAUGCGAAGAUGCUGUCUAAGAUAUCUAAAAGUUUCUCUUGGUGCAGAUGUUAGUUAUUCAAUCUUGUUUAUUAUAAAACUUGAGAUCGAGUUUUCACAAUUCUAUAUGUUUCUGGACUUGUAUUAGGAAUGAGAUUUUGUUGUAAAUAUAUCAUUGUAUUUGAUUAGGUUAGUUAUUAUUAUGGUCUUAUUAAUGUGUAUUUUAGCAAUAUUUAUAAGGGUUUGUCAGUACCCGGACUUGUCAGUUAGGAGUAUUUUAAAAGUUGUAAGCACAUGGUUAGUACUUACCUCAUUGUGCAUUUAGCAUUUUGGUUCAUGUUAUUAUUUCUACAAAUAGCGUGUAAAUUGUGAUUUCUUAACCUGAAUAUUAUGAAUAGAAAUGGCUUAG